RNAcentral lists this ribosomal RNA (473 nucleotides) under uncultured Methanosaeta sp. RNAcentral describes it as "bacterial SSU rRNA". It matches the Rfam family "Archaeal small subunit ribosomal RNA", at positions 871 to 1337 of the family's 1478-position model. Lineage: Archaea; Methanobacteriati; Methanobacteriota; Methanomicrobia; Methanotrichales; Methanotrichaceae. The record is from RNAcentral.
UUGACGGGGAGCACCACAACGGGUGGAGCUUGCGGUUUAAUUGGAUUCAACGCCGGAAAUCUUACCGGGACCGACAGCAAUAUGAAGGCCAGGCUGAAGACUUUGCCGGAUUAGCUGAGAGGUGGUGCAUGGCCGUCGUCAGUUCGUACUGUGAAGCAUCCUGUUAAGUCAGGCAACGAGCGAGACCCACGCCCACAGUUGCCAGCGUACUCUCCGGAGUGACGGGUACACUGUGGGGACCGCCGCUGCUAAAGCGGAGGAAGGAAUGGGCAACGGUAGGUCAGUAUGCCCCGAAUAUCCCGGGCUACACGCGAGCUACAAUGGUUGGUACAAUGGGUAUCUACCCCGAAAGGGGACGGAAAUCUCCUAAAACCAAUCUUAGUUCGGAUUGAGGGCUGCAACUCGCCCUCAUGAAGCUGGAAUCCGUAGUAAUCGCGUUUCAACAGAACGCGGUGAAUACGUCCCUGCUCCUU